GAUGAACGCUAGCUACAGGCUUAACACAUGCAAGUCGAGGGGCAUGCAUGGUCUUAGCUUGCUAAGGCUGAUGGCGACCGGCGCACGGGUGAGUAACACGUAUCCAACCUGCCGUCUACUCUUGGACAGCCUUCUGAAAGGAAGAUUAAUACAAGAUGGCAUCAUGAGUCCGCAUGUUCACAUGAUUAAAGGUAUUCCGGUAGACGAUGGGGAUGCGUUCCAUUAGAUAGUAGGCGGGGUAACGGCCCACCUAGUCUUCGAUGGAUAGGGGUUCUGAGAGGAAGGUCCCCCACAUUGGAACUGAGACACGGUCCAAACUCCUACGGGAGGCAGCAGUGAGGAAUAUUGGUCAAUGGGCGAGAGCCUGAACCAGCCAAGUAGCGUGAAGGAUGACUGCCCUAUGGGUUGUAAACUUCUUUUAUAAAGGAAUAAAGUCGGGUAUGGAUACCCGUUUGCAUGUACUUUAUGAAUAAGGAUCGGUAACUCCGUGCCAGCAGCCGCGGUAAUACGGAGGAUCCGAGCGUUAUCCGGAUUUAUUGGGUUUAAAGGGAGCGUAGAUGGAUGUUCUAAGUCAGUUGUGAAAGUUUGCGGCUCAACCGUAAAAUUGCAGUUGAUACUGGAUAUCUUGAGUGCAGUUGAGGCAGGCGGAAUUCGUKGUGUAGCGGUGAAAUGCUUAGAUAUCACGAAGAACUCCGAUUGCGAAGGCAGCCUGCUAAGCUGCAACUGACGUUGAGGCUCGAAAGUGUGGGUAUCAAACAGGAUUAGAUACCCUGGUAGUCCACACGGUAAACGAUGAAUACUCGCUGUUUGCGAUAUACUGCAAGCGGCCAAGCGAAAGCGUUAAGUAUUCCACCUGGGGAGUACGCCGGCAACGGUGAAACUCAAAGGAAUUGACGGGGGCCCGCACAAGCGGAGGAACAUGUGGUUUAAUUCGAUGAUACGCGAGGAACCUUACCCGGGCUCAAACGCCGUCUGACGUACCCUGAAAGGGGUAUUUCUUCGGACAGGCGGACGAGGUGCUGCCAUGGUUGUCGUCAGCUCGAUGCCGUGAGGUGUCGGCUUAAGUGCCAUAACGAGCGCAAACCCUGUCGACAGUUGCUAACAGGUUAGGCUGAGGACUCUGUCGAGACUGCCGGCGCAAGCUGUGAGGAAGGCGGGGAUGACGUCAAAUCAGCACGGCCCUUACGUCCGGGGCGACACACGUGUUACAAUGGCAGGUACAGCGGGAAGCCACCCGGCGACGGGGCGCGGAACCCGAAAACCUGUCUCAGUUCGGAUUGGAGUCUGCAACCCGACACCAUGAAGCUGGAUUCGCUAGUAAUCGCGCAUCAGCCACGGCGCGGUGAAUACGUUCCCGGGCCUUGUACACACCGCCCGUCAAGCCAUGGAAGCCGGGGGUGCUUGAAGUGCGUCGCCGCAAGGCGCGCCCUAGAGCAAAACCGGUGACUGGGGC
RNAcentral lists this ribosomal RNA (1453 nucleotides) under uncultured bacterium. Its description in RNAcentral is "16S ribosomal RNA". It matches the Rfam family "Bacterial small subunit ribosomal RNA". The record is from RNAcentral.